AAUUGGGACAAAUCGAUCCUGCAACCUUCCCACUCGAUAGAGUUUCUGGGCUUCGAUAUAGACGCAAUGCACGGAACACUCAGUUUACCUACCGCGAAAGUAAAACUUAUCAAGAAGGAAAUCCGGAGGACGUUGACUCGACCAGUCUUAACCCUCCGACAGCUAGCCAGGAUAAUUGGCCUGCUCUCUGCCUCUAUACAAGCGAUCUUCCCAGGCCCUCUCCACUACAGAUCCCUGCAACAGCUCAAAGCAACCCACCUACGCUUGGGUCAAUCCUAUUCAGAUUCUGUACCUCUAGACUGCGCGGCAAAAGAGGAACUGGCAUGGUG
This 329-nucleotide long non-coding RNA is filed under the name Pelobates cultripes (western spadefoot toad). Lineage: Eukaryota; Metazoa; Chordata; Amphibia; Anura; Pelobatidae. The record is from RNAcentral.